RNAcentral lists this ribosomal RNA (509 nucleotides) under uncultured Desulfobulbus sp. Its description in RNAcentral is "bacterial SSU rRNA". It matches the Rfam family "Bacterial small subunit ribosomal RNA", at positions 903 to 1382 of the family's 1533-position model. Lineage: Bacteria; Pseudomonadati; Thermodesulfobacteriota; Desulfobulbia; Desulfobulbales; Desulfobulbaceae. The record is from RNAcentral.
GCCACGCCCGCUCAAGAACUACGAAAGGAAUUGGACGGGGGCCCGCACAAGCGGUGGAGUAUGUGGUUUAAUUCGAUGCAACGCGAAGAACCUUACCUGGUCUUGACAUCCCGGAGACCCUUAGGAAACUAGGGGGUGCUUCCAUCUGGAAGAAUCUGGAGACAGGUGCUGCAUGGCUGUCGUCAGCUCGUGUCGUGAGAUGUUGGGUUAAGUCCCGCAACGAGCGCAACCCUUGCCUUUAGUUGCCAGCAGUUCGGCUGGGCACUCUAAAGGGACUGCCGGUGUUAAACCGGAGGAAGGUGGGGAUGACGUCAAGUCCUCAUGGCCUUUAUGACCAGGGCUACACACGUACUACAAUGGCCGAUACAAAGGGCAGCGACACUGCGAGGUGAAGCCAAUCCCGUAAAAUCGGUCUCAGUCCGGAUUGGAGUCUGCAACUCGACUCCAUGAAGUUGGAAUCGCUAGUAAUCGUGGAUCAGCAUGCCACGGUGAAUACGUUCCCGGGCCUU